GUGUGUCAGUGGCAGGCUCAGAGGUUGGGUGUGUUGGGCACCUCGUCUCCCCUCCCAACCAUGACUGGACGUUCAUAAACUUGAUCACAAACCCCGUGUUGAUAUCUCCCGCAGUGUGAGUGAUGGAACUGUGUUAAAUACUGACCACCGGAAGUGUAUCAGUACACUGUAUUACGCUGCCAGUGUAACUUAAGUACUACUGUAUGUCUUAUAACGUGUGUUAAUAAUAAUGGAAAAAUAUUAAGUGAUAAAAUACAGUUUCUUAUACUGAGAGUGAUUGAAAAGAAUGUUAAAAUGUGUUAACAGGUGUGUGUAUUAUAACUGCAGUUAAUUAGUAAACAAACAGUAAUAAUACAGUCGGUGUGUGUGUGUGGCUCAAGCCGUGCCAUAUAGAAUCAGUGUCAUUGCCAAGUGAGGCGGCAGGAGCGGUCACCACGGCACUGAGUGGAGGUCACGGGUCAAGUUAGGCACCAGCCGUCUCCCCGUGUCCUGGCAAGAGAGUCGUGACACGUUAUGACGGCUCUGUCACUGCGCUGCCUCAGUUGGAGAACAUCGGGUCGUCCCUGGCCUACUUGUCGGGCGUCGGGGUGGCCCUGGACGGUCUCACGGCCAAGGACAUUAAAGACGGUAACCUCAAGGCCAUCCUCUCCCUCUUCUUUGCUCUCUCCAGAUAUAAACAACAGCAGAAGCAAGCACAGCAAGAGAGGAAAGAACUUGAGAAAUUAAGAGAGAAGAAACAAGAGAGCGAGAUGGUGACGACUGCUGCGUCAAAGUAAGUACCCCUGUGAUGUUUGUUUUGUCUUCCUUUACAACAU
Molecule: long non-coding RNA, 815 nt
Organism: Homarus americanus (American lobster)
Lineage: Eukaryota; Metazoa; Arthropoda; Malacostraca; Decapoda; Nephropidae
Exons: 3
Source: RefSeq, a predicted model, not a curated record